AAAUCACCCAAGGCUGCUGCGUGUGGCAGUACAGCCAAGGACAGAGCCACAGCAUUUCACUCAUGCAUCUGCGCUCCUGCUGAAGCCAAACGCAGCCACAGCUGAGGGGAAUGAAGAGGGGAAGCUCUUUUGCAGCAAGCAAUGUGGGAUACUUGAGAAGAGAAAAUGAACUUCCAGGUUAUGUUGGCAGCAUGACUUGUGGCUCUGAGCCCAGCUGCAAGGAGAGACGUGUGCCUCCCACCACCUCCUCCCAGAAGGAUGUCAUCAAGGCAGCCCCGCCAGGGACCAGCACCUGGCCAAAUGGAAGAACAGCAAAUGGCUGGGUGGAAAGAUUCCAGACAGGGCUGGACUGGCAGCUGGAUCUUGCCCUCACUAUGUUCUGUGCGCUUAAUAGGUAUUGCAAUUAUCAUGUAAUUAAAGAACAUCAUAACAUGUACAAGUAG
This 443-nucleotide long non-coding RNA is filed under the name Zonotrichia albicollis (white-throated sparrow). RNAcentral's name for it is "lncRNA (ENSZALG00000008765.1)". The record is from RNAcentral. Lineage: Eukaryota; Metazoa; Chordata; Aves; Passeriformes; Passerellidae.